Molecule: ribosomal RNA, 403 nt
Filed under: uncultured bacterium
Lineage: Bacteria
Description: partial 16S ribosomal RNA
Rfam family: Bacterial small subunit ribosomal RNA
Source: RNAcentral
AUUGAACGCUGGCGGCAGGCCUAACACAUGCAAGUCGAGCGAGCGGCGGACGGGUGAGUAAUGUAUGGGGACUGCCCGAUAGAGGGGGAUAACUACUGGAAACGGUGGCUAAUACCGCAUACUAUCGGAUAACCCAUAUGGGAUUGGAUAGUCGGGGGGGUAAAGGCUCACCUCGGCGACGAUCUCUAGCUGGUCUGAGAGGAUGAUCAGCCAAAUGGGGACUGAGAAAAGGCCCAGACUCCUACGGAGGCAGCAGUGGGGAAUAUUGCACAAUGGGCUCAAGCCGGAUGCAGCCAUGCCGCGUGUAUGAAGAAGGCCGUCGGGUUGUAAAGCACUUUCAGCGAGGAGGCGUUACUCGCAGAAGAAGCACCGGCUAACUCCGUGCCAGCAGCCGCGGUAAUAC